Molecule: ribosomal RNA, 468 nt
Filed under: uncultured bacterium
Lineage: Bacteria
Description: partial 16S ribosomal RNA
Rfam family: Bacterial small subunit ribosomal RNA
Source: RNAcentral
GACGAACGCUGGCGGCGUGCUUAACACAUGCAAGUCGAACGGAAAGGCCCUGCUUUUGUGGGGUGCUCGAGUGGCGAACGGGUGAGUAACACGUGAGUAACCUGCCCUUGACUUUGGGAUAACGUCAGGAAACUGGGGCUAAUACCGGAUAGGAGCUCCUGCUGCAUGGUGGGGGUUGGAAAGUUUCGGCGGUUGGGGAUGGACUCGCGGCUUAUCAGCUUGUUGGUGGGGUAGUGGCUUACCAAGGCUUUGACGGGUAGCCGGCCUGAGAGGGUGACCGGCCACAUUGGGACUGAGAUACGGCCCAGACUCCUACGGGAGGCAGCAGUGGGGAAUAUUGCACGAUGGGCGGAAGCCUGAUGCAGCAACGCCGCGUGCGGGAUGACGGCCUUCGGGUUGUAAACCGCUUUCGCCUGUGACGAAGCGUGAGUGACGGUAAUGGGUAAAGAAGCACCGGCUAACUACGUG